Molecule: ribosomal RNA, 425 nt
Filed under: uncultured bacterium
Lineage: Bacteria
Description: bacterial SSU rRNA
Rfam family: Bacterial small subunit ribosomal RNA
Source: RNAcentral
UAGGGAAUUUUCCACAAUGGGCGAAAGCCUGAUGGAGCAACGCCGCGUGCAGGAUGAAUGCCUUCGGGUUGUAAACUGCUUUUAUCUGUGACGAUUAUGACGGUAGCAGAUGAAUAAGGAUCGGCUAACUCCGUGCCAGCAGCCGCGGUCAUACGGAGGAUCCAAGCGUUAUCCGGAAUUACUGGGCGUAAAGAGUUGCGUAGGUGGCAGUGUAAGCAGAUAGUGAAAGCCUGGGGCUCAACCCCUUACACAUUAUCUGAACUGCACAGCUAGAGGACGAGAGAGGUUAUUGGAAUUCCUAGUGUAGGAGUGAAAUCCGUAGAUAUUAGGAGGAACACCGAUGGCGUAGGCAGAUAACUGGCUCGUUCCUGACACUAAGGCACGAAAGCAUGGGUAGCAAACGGGAUUAGAUACCCCCGUAGUCC